Molecule: non-coding RNA, 1640 nt
Organism: Epinephelus lanceolatus (giant grouper)
Lineage: Eukaryota; Metazoa; Chordata; Actinopteri; Perciformes; Serranidae
Source: RefSeq, a predicted model, not a curated record
CAGACAUGCUGCCCGUCAUCACGCAGACAUGGAGAGGAGGGAUUUCAUGCAGAUUGCUGUAAAUUCGGUGCAUGAGAUACCUGGAACUCUCCUGCUAGACCUCCCCUAAAGGCCCAGGGUUCUUGGUCUCCUCUAAGGAACUGUGCUGAGGACUGACUACGACACCCUGUUAGGAGCAGAGCCAAGCGGACAUUGUUACCACAGGAUGGGGCUCUCUGACACAGAUGAAGGUAGUGGGGAGAUGGGGAGGAAGGGGGUCAUAUGUAUCUAAUAGCAUUAUCCAUAUAAAUAAAUUAAUCUUAAUUUACUCAUUAAAACAUAAAAGGACCUAAUUUGGAAUGAACUAUAUUCAGAGGAAAUACUUUAUGAUAAAAUGGGGCUCGAGCAACUAAAGCUUACGUAUUUGCAAGAAGAAAUCAGGUCCAAAUUUCUGUGUCAGUACAACAAUGCCACACUGCUCCAUGUAACAUGGUAUGCAGAGCUUUAGAUAAAAGUUAAUUCACGCAGUGAGGAAUGCACGCUCUCCAUAAAGUGAUGAGAGAUCAGAAUUAAGUGCAGUUCAGCCCCCUUGGUGUUUCAGUGAGGGUACUCGCUUGAAAACUGACAGACAUCAUAAAUAUUACACUGACCAUCAGAACGGAAACCCCAUGCUGUCUAUGGACUACAACAGUAAGCUUCAGCUGCCGUCACCCCACUCAUCUCAGCACCCCGUGUGAAGUCACAUUCUCAUCUUAUCUGCCUCGUCACAUGACUGGGGAGCAUGAGUCAUCAAACCAGGAAGUCAGAGCGAGAGCUGGUGUGAAUGUUCCCUGAGUUAAAGGACCUUUCAGCUUACUAGUAAAAGCCACAAUCAAACAGACCAAAGAUGAAAUGCGCCGUAGGGACAAGUCGCGUGUAUCUAAAGCACACUCUUACAAGUGUGUAUACUGUAGCAUUCCCGCUAACAAAGUCUAACCCUGGUUGACAAUAAGCCCUGUCAUGUGACCAGACAAAUGCAGCGCGCGGGAAGGACAUCUAACACUGCUUUACAUAUGAACCUUACCCUGACACUUUUAUACAAUUCCUCUGUUGAACUGACGCAGCACAGCACGCAGAUGCACCCACGGGAAGGAACUCUGAACUUGCUUGCCCAAAUUAAAAGCCACAAAACAGACAACAGAAUGGUCUCUUGGUGGAUGACUUCCACCUCAAUUACCUGUUCAGACUGCAUUGUCUUAACACAAUCACAGUUAGGCAGAACACAUGCAACUUUUGAUCUUCCAUAGUCAAGCCAAUGUGUGUGUGAGCAGUUAUAGCAGUUAUCAUAACUACACAAUCAGUAAUAUCCCUGAGUGCAAUGAAGAUCCUGCCACGGUUAAGUUUCAAAGCCAAGUGUAAAUUUCCUUGAGUAGGUGCAUCGGGCUGGCCUGAGCCAGUUCUAUAGGCCUACUAACAGAAACAAAAAAAACAAGUUAGAGAGAUGCUGCCAAAGAGAGAAAUUUGGGAGUUAACACUUAGGAUUCAAAGCUAAAUCGCUGCGCAAAAUGUGACUUCAUCCGGAGGGCUGCUUCCUUUCCUCCAAAUCAAUCUUUUAACAUAUAUAAAUCUAGUUUAAGAAAAAAAAAUCCAUAAAUCCCUUUCAAACAUUAACAAAACAAAAA